Molecule: long non-coding RNA, 2786 nt
Organism: Lates calcarifer (barramundi perch)
Lineage: Eukaryota; Metazoa; Chordata; Actinopteri; Centropomidae
Exons: 3
Source: RefSeq, a predicted model, not a curated record
ACGAAGGUCACGUAACACUGGGCCGUAUACCUGCUUAUCAAAACAAUAAAGUCUGUAUAAAUGUUCAUCUGACUCGUGUCUCUCCACUUCCUGCCUCAAAAAAUCCCUCUGCAAUCAGCUCUGAGUUGUUCGCUUUGAUUUCCAGCCUUCUCCACUUCAGAAAACACUUCAGAUCCACCAAUCAGAGGCUCUGAAUCACCUUCCUGCCAUUUAAAACCUUUCCUGUUCUGUGGGAGAGGGCUGGUGGUCGACUGGGCGUCUGGAAGCACCAAAUCCCAACUUAUCUCUGAGUAAUAAUAAUGUUUUCUCUGACUUUGAUGAAGCUGACAAGCAGGUUCAUCUCUACUUGCUGGAGGGCUUUUCAUGGAUCAGUGCCAAGAAUAAAAGCUCAUUAAAUCAGAGCUUUUCACCGUUGUUUGAUGGAUUAACCUUCAAAAUGAAGCCAUUCAUGGAGAGAACUGAUGUCUUCAGCCUGAACUAACCACUGUCCUGCAGCUUCUUACUGGGAUUAAAUACAGUCCGAUGGAGAAAUCAAAGAUGGUUGAUAGUGAGGACAUCCAGCUCCAGCUGGGCAGGUGCAGGUAGUCUGCCUUCUAGAAAUUAGAUUUAUAUACUCCAUACUCAAUCAGUUCAUUUUUAAUUUUGGGUCAGACUUGACAGAAUUUAGCAGAUGUGGUGCCAAGUGUUUCAAAUUCUCUACAUUUCUGGAGCCGAACAAUUAAUCAAAGUGUUACUGAAAAAAUAUUGAUAACUAUAAACGUAUCACAACAUACCAUUAACAAUAAAGCACUGUGGUGUUACAGACAUGUUAUGGCCUACAAAUCAUAUUCUGCAGGUGUAAGGGAACAUGCUUAUUUGGUAUAGACCACAGCAAAAAUCUGUUUAAAUUAAAUUUCAAAAUUCCUACUCAAAUUGUGACUCGUAUAGCAGGUUACAGGGUGAUAAUUAACUUCAAAUCAAACACAGAAUUGGCCCAACCCAUUUGGGCGAUAUUGCAAAAUCGUGCUAUUGACAAGCCAACAGCAGGAGAUAGCAAGCAACACUGCAGCUCCAGCUCAACUAUGCUAACAUUAGUUAGCCAAGUCAGCUCAACCUCUGCCUAAAAUCACAGCUCCAGUGGCCACAGUUUUCUGUUCUAUUUGCAGCCGUUGUUAAGCUACCCUGAAAUAGAAAGCAACAGUUCUGAUUUGAAAAUGGCACCAAUCCCACAUAUCAUGCUGUUGAACCACCCUAAAUCACUGCAGCGCACUGUAGCCCUUCACCAAUUUAGCACAAGGCUGCACAUUCACUCACUAAAACUCCAGUCUGUAUUUACACAUUAUUUUUCCAGGUUACCUGAGCUGAUGCAGAACUUGCACAAUUUGGACUUUGAACACAUUUCUCUCCUCUAAACCCAACUGGUCGAGGCCGAUGGCUUCCUAGCCUGAGUGCAGUUUUUCCUCUCUACUGUCACCAAGUGCUGCUCAUGGUGGGAACUGUUUGGUUUCUCUGUAUAAUUUUAUAAAGGUUUUGACCUUGCUCAGUAAAGUCCCUUGAGAAAAUGGAUGUGAUGAUUUGGUGCUUUACAAAUAACACUGCACUGAAUUGAGAGAUAAUACUUAAAGUCUACUCUGAGAAGCUUAUCAAUGUGUUAUAUUGUCAUCUCUUCUCUUAUCUGGACUGUGGUGUUUGGACAGAGAGAGUCAGAGACUUUAGUAAGAAAAUAAACAAUAAAACAGAGGGGGAAAAUUUGCCAAGGAUGUAGAAAUUAUGCCCUUUCUUCCCCUCUUUUUCUUGCCUUCCUCCCCUGAUUUCUCCUGUCGCUCUCACUUCCUUUCUCUGAAUCUCCAGUUCAGACUACUUUCACACCUCAGUAAGCAAAGCAUUUCUGCUGUUAGCAAUCAUACCAUAUUUUCCCUGGAAAAUGUCUCCAGUUAUCUUUAUGCUUUCUGUUGUAAAUGUGAAUGGGUCCUUCAGGUAACACUCAGUGGGAACACAAGCAGCUUUUGUGUGGCUCACAGCAGUUCAUUUCCUCCAUUCUUCUCUGCACAGCGCUCAGUUAUGUAACAUGUCCUCAGGUUGGUCCUCAGGUUUUCUUCAGGACGGAUCCGAUCCAGUACCGGUCCUGUUUUGGCUCAAGAUCAUUGUCUUGUGGAAAAGGUUGAAAUUCUUGUUCAACUGGAGCAGCGGGAGGCUUCAUCCCGAAAUAACUCGGGGUCACCAUUUUGAUCAUUUCCCGUUUUUGUCCUGUGCAGAGCCGCUGUCCUCCCACACAGCCUGUACAAUACUGCAGCUACGUUUAUCUGGAAAUAAGACUAAAAUUCACAACACUUUGGUUUCACCAAACCAGGAGACGAUCGCCCACAUGGCUCUGAGGGACUGUGGGAAGUGGUUUUAGCUUUAAAUCAUACUAAUGAUUCAGUUUUAAUUGGUUCAAAUUCAAAUAUCUGAAGCCAAAAACUUAUAUCAAGAAUAUUUAAGCCAAUUAAAGAUCAAUCAUCCCUCAACUGUAUCACACCAAGGCCGAAGUGUCUCUCUUUCUGUAUCAACAACUUAAAGAAUUAAACUGCCCAUUUUCUGAACAAUGAGUGUAACUAUAAUAUUUUUCUUCCUAUAAUUUUCUUGACAGUAGGAAAACUGGUGAGAUGUCCUUCCACAGUCCUGUUGCAUAAUUCAGAAAGACUAGAUGUUCCUUGGUAGUGAAGAGAGCGUCUGUGUUACCAGCUGACGACGAUCACAGUCUGAAUGUUUCACACGAGGUGAUCAGAGGGAAAAACCUGCUUCACGUACUGAAAUUCAAAUUCUGU